Long non-coding RNA from Fukomys damarensis (Damara mole-rat), 1837 nucleotides. Lineage: Eukaryota; Metazoa; Chordata; Mammalia; Rodentia; Bathyergidae. The record is from Ensembl.
CGCCCCCGCUCCAGUCCCCAGAUCUCGACCCGCCUCCGCUUUCGCCCCCCAUCCGGACCCGGACCCCAGCUCCGGCGGGACCCGAUCCCGCCCUCCUGCCUCCUGCGCGGAGCCCGCUGCUCUGCUGGCUUGGAACCCCGAACCUGGAAGAGCUUCCUACCUCGGCCUCAGCGGGGCCUGUAGACCUGCACUGAAGCGUUAGUCACCGGACGCCGCGUGCUUUAGUUCUGUAAAACCAGGGAAAACAUUUUGGGGAAACCAAUCCUCUUUUUUUUUUUAAUUUUGAGAAGGUAUGCACUUUACAUAUUCAUGUGAUGGGAAGGGUGGAAACAUUUUUCCUUUUUAUUUUUUUGCUUACUUUGAAGUUGCUGUUGCCGUGCUCUGAUCUCCCAGGACCCUGGAGAAGGCUGCACACGUGCUGGCUCGGGGCACCGGGAAAACGAGGACACCCGGCAUCUGCACCGCGCGCCCCGCCUGGGUGAACACCGUGCCUGGUACUGGUCUGACCCAAGAGUGGAGAGCUCUGCUUUUGAAGAUUAAAAGCUCUUCAAGGACCCCGCACACACCACCACUACCUUGGCCGAAUGCUUUCCUGGUAACUGCUGCUUCUCAGAACUAUACUCAAGUGAUGACUUCUCGGGCAGGGACCAGAGCCCACUUACGUGUUCCUGCUGAGUGCCGCCUGUGACCGCUCUUCUGCAACUUCCCUCAGACACAGGCUGGGUAAACCAGGAGAAGACAGCAGUGGAUACCCGCAAAAGAAGUUAAUCUCCAACAUGUACAAGUCAGGCCCCUCAGCCUCCCCAGCCCCACUGGCGGCCUGGGUUCCUUCCCAGAGCUUGAUCUUCCUUUGUCCUCCAUCCCCAGGGUCCAGUUCCACGACAGUGGCCUCCUUGGCUCCGCACUGCUGGGACCCCUGAAGGCUGCCCAUACCUCUGUCUCGUGACACAACCCUGGUCCUUGCCUGGCUUCUUCCCUGCUGGCUCCCUGCAGGCCUUGUGACAACAGAGGCCCGUGGUUCCCAGCUCUGCCUCCAGGUAGACCUGGUCUGGCCAGCAUCUGGGCCCAGUGCCCCUGGAGUUCAGCCGGGACCGAUGUUUAUCCUUUAAAAGGAUUGAUUGAAAAUACAGCUACUGUAUCAAAUCAUCCACUUAGUUCAUACCGCAGAGCAUUCUCAAGGCUCGGGCCAUUUCCUGAUUGCAGGCUGUACACAGUUGUGGAUUCAGCGCAACUACAUCCACUAACGUCUUGCCCCUCCUGUUUCAAAGUCCGACAUGUCCUGGUUCGCACCACACUGUGUCUCCUCAAGACUGGAUUUCAUUUUGGACAGCCAGGCCCGUCUACCGCUUCUGGUCUCAGACCUGGCCUGGUCAACUGCUUUUGGUCAUUCCUGGUGGUUACUUUGUCUGUCACUACCAGCCUUUUCCUGGACACAGAGUCAACAGCAAGACUAGACUUUUGUUUAAAAGUAGUAACAAAGCCUAAAUACUUGGAAAACUGAAGAAUCAAGGAGAACGAAAGAGGAGUAGUAAACGGAUGAAACUUCACCUCCGCCCCAUCUCCCCAAAUGACCACUUUACCACCACACUUACACACUGGUGCAUUUCAUUCCUGCAUUUGCAUCCACGUGUAUAAAAUACAUAUGAAAUCAUACUACUGUUUUUCUGCCUUCCUUCUUUUGUGUUUUGUUUUUUGGUUUUUUUUUUGGUUUUUUGAGACAGGGUCUCACUAUGUAGUUGAGACUGACCCGGAACUCACUACAUAGCCCAAGCUAAUCUCGAACCCACAGUGAUCCUCCUGCCUCAGCGGGAUUACAGGUGUGAGUCACCACGCCCGG